RNAcentral lists this ribosomal RNA (442 nucleotides) under uncultured bacterium. RNAcentral describes it as "partial 16S ribosomal RNA". It matches the Rfam family "Bacterial small subunit ribosomal RNA", at positions 338 to 795 of the family's 1533-position model. The record is from RNAcentral.
CCUACGGGGGGCAGCAGUAGGGAAUCUUUCACAAUGGGCGAAAGCCUGAUGGAGCAACGCCGCGUGCAGGAUGAAGGCCUUCGGGUUGUAAACUGCUUUUAUAAGCGAGAAAUAUGAUGGUAACUUAUGAAUAAGGAUCGGCUAACUACGUGCCAGCAGCCGCGGUCAUACGUAGGAUCCGAGCAUUAUCCGGAGUGACUGGGUGUAAAGAGUUGCGUAGGUGGCAUAAUAAGUAGCUAGUGAAAUCUGGUGGCUCAACCAUUCAGACUAUUAGCUAAACUGUUAAGCUCGAGACCGUGAGGGGUAACUGGAAUUUCUAGUGUAGGAGUGAAAUCCGUAGAUAUUAGAAGGAACACCAAUAGCGUAGGCAGGUUGCUGGGACGGUUCUGACACUAAGGCACGAAAGCGUAGGGAGCAAACGGGAUUAGAUACCCGAGUAGUC